This 327-nucleotide ribosomal RNA is filed under the name uncultured Pseudomonadota bacterium. RNAcentral's name for it is "bacterial SSU rRNA". It matches the Rfam family "Bacterial small subunit ribosomal RNA", at positions 29 to 351 of the family's 1533-position model. The record is from RNAcentral. Lineage: Bacteria; Pseudomonadati; Pseudomonadota.
AGCGAACGUUAGCGGCGGGCUUAACACAUGCAAGUCGGACGAGAAAGAGUCCUUCGGGGCUUGAGUAAAGUGGCGCACGGGUGAGUAACACGUGGGUAAUCUACCCUCCGGCGGGGGACAACAACUGGAAACGGUUGCUAAUACCGCAUACACCUAGCGGCCUUCGGGCUGCUCGGCGAAAGGCUUCGGUCACCGGAGGAUGAGCCCGCGGCCCAUCACGCUAGUUGGUGAGGUAAUGGCCCACCAAGGCGAAGACGGGUAGCUGGUCUGAGAGGAUGAUCAGCCACACUGGGACUGAGACACGGCCCAGACUCCUACGGGAGGCAG